Molecule: ribosomal RNA, 958 nt
Filed under: Graphis cinerea
Lineage: Eukaryota; Fungi; Ascomycota; Lecanoromycetes; Ostropales; Graphidaceae
Description: eukaryotic LSU rRNA
Rfam family: Eukaryotic large subunit ribosomal RNA
Source: RNAcentral
AUAUCAAUAAGCGGAGGAAAAGAAACCAACCGGGAUUGCCCUAGUAACGGCGAGUGAAGCGGCAACAGCUCAAAUUUGAAAUCUGGCCCUUGGGUCCGAAUUGUAAUUUGUAGAAGGUGCCUCGGGGGCGACGACGGCGCAAGUCUCCUGGAACGGAGCGUCGCAGAGGGUGAGAAUCCCGUUUGCCGCCGAACGUCAAACCCGUGUGAGGCCCUUUCGAAGAGUCGAGUUGUUUGGGAAUGCAGCUCCAAGCGGGUGGUAAGUUCCAUCUAAAGCUAAAUAUCCGCCAGAGACCGAUAGCGCACAAGUAGAGUGAUCGAAAGAUGAAAAGCACUUUGAAAAGAGAGUCAAACAGUACGUGAAAUUGUUGAAAGGGAAGCGCUUGCAACCAGACUCGCCCGCGCGUGUUCAGCCGUGCUUCGGUGCGGUGCACUCUCGCGCGGGCGGGCCAGCAUCGGUUUCGGCGGCCGGACAAAGGCCCUGGGAACGUAACUCCCCUCGGGGAGUGUUAUAGCCCGGGGUGCAAUGCGGCCAGCCGGGACCGAGGAUCGCGCUUUUUGCUAGGAUGCUGGCGUAAUGGUUGCCAGCGACCCGUCUUGAAACACGGACCAAGGAGUCGACCAACCGCGCGAGUGUUUGGGUGUAAAGCCCUCGACGCGCAAUGAAAGUGAACGCAGGUGGGAGCUUCGGCGCACCAUCGACCGAUCUUGAUGUCUUCGGAUGGAUUUGAGUACGAGCGUGUUUGGUCGGACCCGAAAGUCAGUGAUCUAUGCGUGAAUAGGGUGAAGCCAGAGGAAACUCUGGUGGAGGCUCGCAGCGGUUCUGACGUGCAAAUCGAUCGUCAAAUUUGCGCAUAGGGGCGAAAGGUACGUCGAUCCCAACGGCAUCUGGUGGAGGAACAAGCUAACUCGUUUUUGCAGACUAAUCGAACUGACUAGUAGCUGGUUCCUGUCGAAGU